RNAcentral lists this ribosomal RNA (429 nucleotides) under uncultured bacterium. RNAcentral describes it as "bacterial SSU rRNA". It matches the Rfam family "Bacterial small subunit ribosomal RNA", at positions 355 to 776 of the family's 1533-position model. The record is from RNAcentral.
UCGAGGAUAUUUAGCAAUGGACGAAAGUCUGACUAUGCUACGCCGCGUGAGGGAUGAAGGUUUUCGGAUCGUAAACCUCUUUCGAUGGGGAAGAAAUGCCUGUCAUAAAUAGUGGCAGGAGCUGACGGUACCCAGAGAAGAAGCCACGGCCAACUCCGUGCCAGCAGCCGCGGUAAUACGGAGGUGGCGAGCGUUACUCGGAUUCAUUGGGUGUAAAGGGCAGGUAGGCGGCUAUGUAAGUUGGGGGUGAAAUCCUUUGGCUCAACCAAAGAACUGCCUUCAAGACUGCACAGCUUGAGACUAGAAGAGGAGAGCGGAAUUCCCGGUGUAAGGGUGAAAUCUGUAGAUAUCGGGAGGAACACCAGUGGCGAAGGCGGCUCUCUGGUCUAGUACUGACGCUGAUCUGCGAAAGCUAGGGGAGCAAACAGG